UUAGAACCUGAAGCAGUGUUAAGGUGUGCUUCCCCUGGAGUUGAACUUUCCAAAUCAAUGUGGCAGCUGAUGGAAGAAAGGCAGUGUCUGAGCUUUAGAAGCCUGAGGAUGUGAAGAAAGCAGAAAACUGUAUACCUGUCCCUGGCACAAUAUCUCAGCCCUCCACAAACUCAGAGAGAAAGACUUAUCUGGGAACAUAAAACUACAGGAAGAAGAAAAGGACUUUUAAAUAUUUUAAACUUAACAUUUAAAAAUUUUCAUAAGACUCCAGUCAAACCCAAGGUCAAUCUUCUAAAGCAGACUCUACUUGACCCCGGAGGAUGCAACUGACCAGAGGCUAGUAAGCUUGCUAAAUUAUUGUGGAUAACAGCGAUGUAUGGUGACAAGAAUUUACAUAUGAACGAAAUGUGAACAGUCGGCUUAAUUUC
Molecule: long non-coding RNA, 428 nt
Filed under: Homo sapiens (human)
Lineage: Eukaryota; Metazoa; Chordata; Mammalia; Primates; Hominidae
Description: HSALNT0039302
Source: RNAcentral